GACAGAGGUCUCGAGCGUUAGGCGGAAUCACUGGGCUUAAAGCGUGUGUAGGCGGAUUUGUAAGUACCUUGUGAAAUCCCACGGCUUAACCGUGGAACUGCUUGGUAUACUGCUUAUCUUGGGCCAUCUAGGGGCGAGCGGAACAAACGGUGGAGCGGUGAAAUGCGUAGAUAUCGUUUGGAACGCCAAUGGUGAAAACAGCUCGCUGGGGAUGUGCCGACGCUGAGACACGAAAGCCAGGGGAGCGAACGGG
RNAcentral lists this ribosomal RNA (253 nucleotides) under uncultured bacterium. Its description in RNAcentral is "partial 16S ribosomal RNA". It matches the Rfam family "Bacterial small subunit ribosomal RNA", at positions 524 to 776 of the family's 1533-position model. The record is from RNAcentral.